Molecule: ribosomal RNA, 491 nt
Filed under: uncultured bacterium
Lineage: Bacteria
Description: bacterial SSU rRNA
Rfam family: Bacterial small subunit ribosomal RNA
Source: RNAcentral
CAGGAUGAACGCUGGCGGCGUGCUUAACACAUGCAAGUCGAACGAGGUUAUAUUACGAUUCCUCGGGAUGACGAUUUUAACCGAGUGGCGGACGGGUGAGUAACGCGUGGGCAACCUGCCCCAUACAGGGGGAUAACAGUUGGAAACGACUGACAAUACCGCAUAAGCGCACAGUAUCGCAUGGUACGGUGUGAAAAAACUCCGGUGGUAUGGGAUGGGCCCGCGUCUGAUUAGCUAGUUGGUGAGGUAACGGCCCACCAAGGCGACGAUCAGUAGCCGACCUGAGAGGGUGACCGGCCACAUUGGGACUGAGACACGGCCCAAACUCCUACGGGAGGCAGCAGUGGGGAAUAUUGCACAAUGGGGGAAACCCUGAUGCAAGCGACGCCGCGUGAGUGAUGAAGUAUUUCGGUAUGUAAAGCUCUAUCAGCAGGGAAGAAAUUGACGGUACCUGACUAAGAAGCCCCGGCUAACUACGUGCCAGCAGCGGC